AUUUGUUUCCUCACCAAGAAAUCCACUAGAAAGAAAUAGCUAUGGCCAAGUACUCUACUUUUCUCGCCCUCAUCUUUUGCCUCCUCCUUGUGGCUGCAACUGAAAUGCAAAUGGCAGAAUGAAAAUACUGUUGGAAGAAAAGUCACAAGUGGAACGGGCCUUGCCAUUACUCUUACAAUUGUAUCCAUCAUUGCAAGCACUGGUUUGGAGCUAAAUAUGGUAUUUGCAAGAAGUAUAAACCAUGGGGUCACAAGUAUCACUGGGCAAAAUAUGCUUGCUACUGCUACUCUCCUUGCCAUCAUUGAGGAACUUCAGAGUCUCAAGGGUUGGCUUUGAUUACAUAAAUAAAUAAGAAGCUACCUAUUUUAUAUGUUAUGUGUGUAAUAAUAUAAUAAGGUCGAUUUAAGUCCCUAGUCUGACUUUUUGGCCAUGCUUUGCCUGAUUAGCAACAUUUGUGUUCCUUUCAUUGUAUUGUACUAUCAUUUACUAUUAGUGUUGCUGUGAUUAUGGUAUUUUGCUAAAUAAAUAUUUGUUGUGGUACGAUAAA
This is a long non-coding RNA of Lycium ferocissimum, 547 nucleotides long. RefSeq lists it as uncharacterized. The transcript has 2 exons. Lineage: Eukaryota; Viridiplantae; Streptophyta; Magnoliopsida; Solanales; Solanaceae. The record is from RefSeq and is a predicted model, not a curated record.